Molecule: small nuclear RNA, 74 nt
Filed under: Spermophilus dauricus (Daurian ground squirrel)
Lineage: Eukaryota; Metazoa; Chordata; Mammalia; Rodentia; Sciuridae
Source: RNAcentral
UUGCUUCAGCAGCAUAUAUAUUAAAAAUUGGAAUGAUACAGAGUGGAUAGCAUGGCCCCUGCAUAAGAAUGACA